GGGGCAAUCUGGUAGUGACAUCUGUCACCCCAUUGACUAAUGGACUGAUCUGGCUGGCUAAGCAGGUGUCCUCUUCCUUCCUCACCACUCCAUGUCCAUCCCACCUGGAGUUGUGGACUUGGUUGAAGAGGACCACCUUCCCCAAUAGAGGAGGGCCAGUCUUGGGUCAAGGGUAAACGAGUAGCUGCACUCCCCUGCUGGAACCUCCGAACAAGCUCUUUAGG
This 224-nucleotide long non-coding RNA is filed under the name Cervus elaphus hippelaphus. It matches the Rfam family "7SK RNA", at positions 8 to 241 of the family's 331-position model. From Rfam's summary of the family: 7SK was discovered as an abundant small nuclear RNA in the mid-70s but a possible function has only recently been suggested. Two independent studies have found that 7SK RNA binds the CDK9/cyclin T complex (known as elongation factor P-TEFb). P-TEFb activates transcription by phosphorylating the C-terminal domain of RNA polymerase II. Lineage: Eukaryota; Metazoa; Chordata; Mammalia; Artiodactyla; Cervidae. The record is from RNAcentral.